GACGAACGCUGGCGGCGUGCCUAAUACAUGCAAGUCGAGCGAAGUUUUUCUGGUGCUUGCACUAGAAAAACUUAGCGGCGAACGGGUGAGUCACACGUAAAGAACCUGCCUCAUAGACUGGGACAACUAUUGGAAACGAUAGCUAAUACCGGAUAACAGUAUUUCUCGCAUGAGAGAUAUUUAAAAGUUGGUUAUGCUAACACUAUGAGAUGGCUUUGCGGUGCAUUAGCUAGUUGGUGGGGUAAAGGCCCACCAAGGCGACGAUGCAUAGCCGACCUGAGAGGGUGAUCGGCCACACUGGGACUGAGACACGGCCCAGACUCCUACGGGAGGCAGCAGUAGGGAAUCUUCCGCAAUGGGCGAAAGCCUGACGGAGCAACGCCGCGUGAGUGAAGAAGGAUUUCGGUUCGUAAAGCUCUGUUGUUAGGGAAGAAUGGAUAUGUAGUAACUAUACAUGUAAGAGACGGUACCUAACCAGAAAGCCACGGCUAACUACGUG
This 499-nucleotide ribosomal RNA is filed under the name uncultured bacterium. RNAcentral describes it as "partial 16S ribosomal RNA". It matches the Rfam family "Bacterial small subunit ribosomal RNA", at positions 28 to 507 of the family's 1533-position model. The record is from RNAcentral.